UACAGAGGGUGCAAACGUUGUUCGGAAUUACUGGGCGUAAAGCGAGUGUAGGCGGCUUGGCAAGUCGGAUGUGAAAGCCCCGGGCUCAACCCGGGAAGUGCACUCGAUACUGCUUAGCUUGAGUGUCGGAGAGGUUGGUGGAAUUAUCGGUGUAGAGGUGAAAUUCGUAGAUAUCGAGAGGAACAUCGGCGGCGAAGGCGGCCAACUGGACGAACACUGACGCUGAGACUCGAAAGCGUGGGGAGCGAACAGG
RNAcentral lists this ribosomal RNA (253 nucleotides) under uncultured bacterium. Its description in RNAcentral is "partial 16S ribosomal RNA". It matches the Rfam family "Bacterial small subunit ribosomal RNA", at positions 524 to 776 of the family's 1533-position model. The record is from RNAcentral.